UGAAGAGUUGGAUUUCAAUCUGUAUCUCUGCAGCCUCUGAGAUUGCCAGGGCUCUCAGAACAGGGGAUAUUGGCCCGUUCCAUGUUGGCCAGCAGAUGAGUGAUCCUUGUACACCGCAUCUUGAUAUGAUGUCUUUGAAGACCAUCAAGUGAGACUUUUCUUUUCUUAUCCUUAGGUGAGGCUUGUUGUUCUUUGCUUCCUCAUGUGCUGAUUGCAUAUUCAGAGUUAGAAUGGUUUGGUUGCCUUGACAAAAUGGAUAGCACUUCUGGCUGUUGUGUUUUUUGGCUCCUCUCUAAUUACUCAAGGGGAGCAAGAAACAAUGCUCUUAUCUUUGUCAUUUACCAAAGUGAGUAUGAAAUCAUGUCCUUUACUUUCAAUGAGAUCAUUUGGUCAUGGACCUUACGUGUUACUCAGGGACCUGUAGGUUGAUCGUGACAUCUUGUAGUCCCUUGUACGGAGGUAACUGCAAUGCCCCAGUUGCUUCAAAACAAGCAUUCACAACAUAACCAAGCUUAUUGAAGUGUACCAUGAUGUUUUUUUACUUCAUUUUGUGACUGCACUUCUCAUUGCAAUGCAUAGUACCGGCCUUCAUGUAGCAGACAUUCUUGCUAUGGAAAUGACUGCCCAGAAACUAGUCAAUAAAGUGUCAGAGAUUGAUGAAACAUGGAAGCCCCUUGAACUUCAACAGGAAGGCUGUUGACUCUUCAGCUGAAUGAGUAUUUUUUGGACACCUUGCCAAAAGUGAAUUCCAUCAAAGUUUUGGAUCAUUGAUUUAUUCAUGAGUGUGUGUUUUGUGGGUCACAGACAGAGAGAGAGAGAGAGAGAGAGAGAGAGAUGCAAGCAAUGUAGUUUGUGGAAUCAAGCUCAAGAACCACAAUGAAGGGAUUUUAUGGAGAAUAAACCUGUAAUAUCACCUUCAUAAUGGAAAAUGGACAUAGGGUUAUAAUAUUCUUCAUUUUCUAAUAUUAUAGGCCCGUGUGCUAGUGCAACUCACUGUUCCCAGUCCACAUGAUCCAAGACAUAUUUGCAAUUUAUCAUUCUUCUAAUGUAU
This is a non-coding RNA of Amborella trichopoda, 1051 nucleotides long. Lineage: Eukaryota; Viridiplantae; Streptophyta; Magnoliopsida; Amborellales; Amborellaceae. The record is from RefSeq and is a predicted model, not a curated record.